This is a long non-coding RNA of Aegilops tauschii subsp. strangulata, 1700 nucleotides long. RefSeq lists it as uncharacterized. NCBI's taxonomy places the organism in Eukaryota, Viridiplantae, Streptophyta, Magnoliopsida, Poales, Poaceae. The record is from RefSeq and is a predicted model, not a curated record.
CACACGGCCACACCUGAAACUCCCCGUUCUCUUCGCUUUCCCCAUCUCGUAGAUCCCGAUCUCCUCCCUCUGGCUGCUCCUCCCAACGCCACACCGCCAUGGCCUCACGCCCAUCCCUCCGCUACAGUUGUCCACGGCGGCAUCGAGGGCAUCGAUGCAGCCAGCCAUAGAACGUCGAUAACCGCCGCUGCUUCUCAAAGGUCUCAGUUCUCUACUCCCCAAAUCCUACUCAUCUUCAUAUUGUUGUCUCCUUCAAGAUUGAUCUCCACUAUUGAAGGUCGCUGGUUUCCGCCGAUGCUGCCGUCCUGCAAGGGGUUCAAGAACGUGAAGAAGCUACAAGUUGGCUACCUCACGAUCGCAAGUUACUCUACUCCGGCAAGUAGUUCAAUCAUCAGUAAUUUGGUGUGUCAAGCCAUCUUCUAACUAAGAAGUAAUCAGUUCAGAGAACUAAGAAGCAAUCAGUUCAAAACCAUCUUCAAUAAUCAGCUCAGUUCAGAGAACUAAGAAGUAAUCAGUUCAGAGCCACCUUUAGUCAUCAGUAAUUUGGUGGGUGUGCGUGAGCUCAACCACAACUUUCCCUUCAAACAAAACAGAAGCCCUUGUUGAGAGAAAUCCCUCUUGCUACUGGUAGUCAUGCACUCAAUCACAAGGUUUGAAAAGAAGCUGGUCUAAUAUUUCUUCUUAUGUUUUUUUCCAACCCCGCUUUGUGGAAUCGGAACAUUUCCUUCAAAGAAAAAAGAAGCCCUUGUUACUGAGAGAAACUACUCUUGCUACUGGCAUUUAUGCGCUGAUGUAACAUUUGUUGUUACGUUUUUUGCAACCCCAGUUUGUGGAAUCUCCAUGAAGCGAGCCAUUAUGGUGUUGUUGUUUGUACUUCUUGUUGUAGCCCUGAGUUUUGGAAGGGCUGGGCCUGAUCGUUACUGUGGUCGUCAACACAAAGCUCAAAGUACAUGAAGAACUAGAUUUCUUAUAAGAAAGAGAAAUCAACAAGGUGCUUGGAAUUGGAAUGUUUUCAUUCCUUGAGUUUCGGUCAUUUUAAAGGCUCAUCUUCUGUUAAUCCCUACAAUUUGAGGAAUGAAGGGAAGGGAAGACGUGAGGAGAAAGCUCUACCUGCACAGGACACAAGAUCUGUGCCGGGAAUUCGGUUGUGCUUGUAUGUUACUGUAGAGCGACCAUUUCAUGGUGGAUGUUGAUGAUCUCAGAUUGAUUCGAUGCUGGAGCGAGCUGGUAUGAGCUUGCACUAAUGAUGUAUAAAAACAUUGAUCUGAUGGCAGGAAGAUCCAAGAUGAAGAGCCAAACAUUGCAUGCUUCGACAAACGAAACCUGCCCACGGAGGUGGUGGCGCCGGUGGUAGGCGGCAAUGAGGCAACAACGCUUCAUGAGGCGGUCAAGUCUGUGGUCGUGAGCCGAUGCAUCCAUCGACGCGGCAGUCGAGUCAACUUCAAGACUCCAUUAGUGAUAUUUGGUUGUGUUAAAGGAAAAAAUUAUUAGGAUAAUAGAAACUGUUGGGAUAAUUUAUUUGUAUAGUGGAUGAAGUUAUUUCAAGUAACAUAUCUUGAAAUGGCAGCAAAGAAGCCCGUAUUAUGUUAGCACAAAAUAUAUUUGGUAUUUGACCUUUUUUUAUGUUAGCAUGUAAUUAGUCAUGUACUCCUAUACUGAAGCUAAAUCAAGUAGGUAGUCUAAAGCUUGGUCAGUUAAAA